GACGCUUGAGGGAUGUUCCAAUGCUAUAAGGAUAGGCACUGGAAAUGUUAACCGAGUCAUAAUCAAGCUUAGGCUUGGUAUCCUAUUAUUAUUUACCAAAAGAAUUCAGAAUUAAUAUUGUAACAUAGACGUAAAAAAUCUAUAAAACAACUUUUAACAACGGAUCUCUUGGUUCUCGCAUCGAUGAAGAACGUAGCAAAGUGCGAUAACUAGUGUGAAUUGCAUAUUCAGUGAAUCAUCGAGUCUUUGAACGCAACUUGCGCUCAUUGGUAUUCCAAUGAGCACGCCUGUUUCAGUAUCAAAACAAACCCUCUAUCCAACUUUUGUUGAAUAGGAUGACUGAGAGUCUCUUGAUCUAUUUUGAUCUUGAACCUCUUGAAAUGUACAAAGGCCUGAUCUUGUUUGAAUGCCUGAACUUUUUUUUAAUAUAAA
RNAcentral lists this unclassified non-coding RNA (432 nucleotides) under Circinomucor sp. 1 ERP-2018. RNAcentral's name for it is "sequence contains 18S rRNA gene, ITS1, 5.8S rRNA gene, ITS2, 28S rRNA gene". The stretch from base 149 to 301 matches the Rfam family "5.8S ribosomal RNA". The record is from RNAcentral. Lineage: Eukaryota; Fungi; Mucoromycota; Mucoromycetes; Mucorales; Mucoraceae.